UGAACGGCCUUAUGCACUCCAGUGGCAUUUCCGUAAUUUUCAACACGACACAAAAGUGCACUGCAUAGCUCUUCCUUCUUCCAGCUGACAACAAACUGGCGAACUUUCUCCAUUUUUUCUCGUCAGCCAAACAGAAAUUAAAAUAAUAAUAAUUUUGCUAUAGUUUCUUUUAUUUUUCUGAAUAUAUGAUGACACAAACAAUCAAGUGGCAUGAAGGAGUAGUGCAUGGCUGUGCCUCAUUCCCAUCCUCUGCUAUUCCAAUCUUCAACACCAGGAAGAAAAUUGAGGUGAUAAAGGUAACUUCAAAAGCAACGAAGUUUAUAAGUUCAGAGUCAAAUGGAAAUAAAGUAGCAAAUUUGUGUGCUGCGAAGACGGAAAGAAUUAAGCUGCCAAAUUACGAUGUCGGAAGCAAGAGUUUCCACAUCGGUGAGUUUUUGAGCCACCAAUCAGGAAUUGAAGCCAUGCUCAACACCAGAGCCUUGGAAAGUUUUCAAUCCCUUGAUGCUGAUAUUUACAGGUGCACUCUGCCAAAACUUAAGCUUUUGAAUUAUGAAGCUGCUCCAGUUCUGGACUUGAGAGUAACCCCAAGAAAUGAAGAUUGUAUAGUUGAGAUGCUUUCGUGCAGGUUUGAGGGUUCAGAAGCUGUGGAACGCCAAAACAGCCAUUUUUCAGCAUUCAUGACUAAUCACAUGUCGUGGGACACGAACAACUCUGAAUCGUUUUUGGAGGUUGACGUGAAGUUGCAACUCACACUUGAGAUAUAUACACGCCCUUUUAAUAUGAUGCCGGUAUCAGCUGUUGAGCGUCCUGGAAAUCUCCCCUCCAUUUAAACUGUGGAAGUGUGAUGACAAUGCAGAAUGAUGCAAGCGUUGGUGGAUCGGCUGGUGCCAUUGCUUCUGCAGCAACUACUACAAGAUUAUGGAAAAUGGAUUGAUGAACAGUUACAGGAUGCCUCAUAAAGUGGUCCAUUCAUGCAUAGAGAGUAGGUGACCUUGCCAUCUAAUUUAAGGCCGAUUGUAACCAGCGAGGGCACAUGUUUGCAGAUUGCGCAACCUGGGCACAUUGUUCAGCAAACCCUCCAAGGGAUUACAAGAUAAAUCAAGAUAUCUCAAAUGUAUCAGUUCCCCGAGGGAUUCCAGGGAUCUGUACAUGACCAUAUUUCAACUGUGUUUUGAAAAGAAAGAUGAAACGACAAUUUCGCUCGUGUAGUUAUACUUUGAACUCAAUUUCAUUCAUCUAGUUUGAAUUGCUCGAA
RNA transcript from Pyrus x bretschneideri (Chinese white pear), 1255 nucleotides. RefSeq lists it as uncharacterized. The transcript is spliced from 8 exons. The record is from RefSeq and is a predicted model, not a curated record. Lineage: Eukaryota; Viridiplantae; Streptophyta; Magnoliopsida; Rosales; Rosaceae.